RNAcentral lists this ribosomal RNA (253 nucleotides) under uncultured bacterium. RNAcentral describes it as "partial 16S ribosomal RNA". It matches the Rfam family "Bacterial small subunit ribosomal RNA", at positions 524 to 776 of the family's 1533-position model. The record is from RNAcentral.
UACGGGGGGGGUAAGCGUUGUUCGGAAUUACUGGGCGUAAAGGGCUCGUAGGCGGCCAACUAAGUCAUACGUGAAAUCCCUCAGCUUAACUGGGGAACUGCGUGUGAUACUGGAUGGCUUGGAUUUGGGAGAGGGAUGCGGAAUUCCAGGUGUAGCGGUGAAAUGCGCAGAUAUCAGGAGGAACACCGGUGGCGAAGGCGGAUCUCUGGGCCAUUACUGACGCUGAGGAGCGAAAGCGUGGGGAGCGAACAGG